Small nucleolar RNA from Polyodon spathula (Mississippi paddlefish), 93 nucleotides. RefSeq annotates it as small nucleolar RNA SNORD67. The transcript has a single exon. Lineage: Eukaryota; Metazoa; Chordata; Actinopteri; Acipenseriformes; Polyodontidae. The record is from RefSeq and is a predicted model, not a curated record.
GUUAAAAGAAGAGUUGCAUAGCAAUGCAGUGACACAGUUGCUUCAGUCAUUGCUGAUGACGGACCAAAGUGCACAGGGGCCAUCUGACUUGUA